CCCAGAGUUUUUGGUGAGACUGAUCCACAAACAUUUACAAACCAGAACAUUUCAAGAGUUCAAGGAUCUCAGUCCAUGAUUUUGGUCUGAUGGACUCAAAAUUCUCUUUAUUUCACUUCUACAAACUCAGCAGAGUCUCCAUCACUGCAGCCUAACCACAGUCCAGCAUGUAGAGGUUCAGUGAAUGUGGUCUGGACUCUGUGGAGGAGAGUCAUGGUUUCAGAGACGCUGUAGAAGGACAGAAUACCUGCUCUGUGAUCCAGGUACACUCCUACUCUGGAGGACUGAGGACCUGAGACAUCAGUGAGGACUUUGUUGUGAACAAAUACAUGACUUUCUUUUGAACAGUAUAAUGUCCACGAUUUGUCAUUUCCUCCAAAUAAACAAUCAUCUGAGUCCCCGUCUCUGCUGAUCGUCUCGUAUGCGACUGCUACAUAAACCCCAUUCCCUCUCCAGUCCACCUCCCAGUAACAACGUCCAGUCAGACUCUCUCUACUCAGGACCUGAGAACAGUAAGUGAAUCUGUCUGGAUGAUCAGGAUAAGACUGUAGCUGUUUCGUAAAUGUUGCUCUUCUGUUUCCAUCAGAUAAUAACAGUCGUCUGUCUGCUGUGUUUGGAUCCAGUGUGAUUCUUUGUGAAUAUCUUAAGAAACCAGCUCUGGUCUUGGGUUCUGGUUCUGGUUCUAACAGUAAAACAUCCACUUCAGUCACUGCCUGUGAGACGUUUGUCCACGUCUCUGUCAGAAGAUCCUGGAGUAUAUCUCUGACCUCUGACACAGCUGCUGUCACCUCCUCAAAGUAUCUCUGAGGACGGAUGUUGAUCCUGGGUGAGUCUGCAGGUUGACCCGGUUCUGACAGUGAGGGGUAGCUGUGCAGAAACUGGUUGUGGUCCUCUGUGAGUGAGAGCUUCUGCAGAUCAGCAUCUUUCCUCUUCAGCUCAGUGAUCUCCUGCUCCAGUUUCUCCUGAAGUUCUUUGACUCGACUCACUUCACGUUCCUGCUGGGAUCUGACCUGCUGCUCCACGUCAGAGCGGCGUUUCUCCAUCAGACGGAUCAGCUGGCUGAAGAUCUCCUGGCUGUGCUCCACAGCUUUAUCAGCAGAGCCGUUGAUAGCCUCCACCUCCUGUUGGAGCAGCUUCACAUCUUCUUCUCUGUCCUGGAUUCUCUGCUGGAUGUUUUCUCGACUCUCCUCCAGAUCUUUCUGCCUCUCAGUCCUUUCUGCCGCAGCUGAGACUGUGUUGUGACCUUUGUGUUGGUCCAAACAGCAGAGAUGACAGAUAGACUUCUUAUCAGUGCGGCAGAAGAUCUUCAUCACCUCAUCAUGACGAGAGCAGAUGUUCUCCUGGAGGUUCUUGGAGGGCUCCACCAGCUUGUGUUUCUUAUAUGAAGGUGAUUCAAAAUGAGGCUGGAGGUGAAUCUGGCAGUAAGAAACCAGACAUUGAAGACAGGACUUGACAGCCUUCAGUUUUCUCCCACUGCAGGAAUCACAGGCCACAUCUUCAGGUCCAGCCUCAGAGGGAUCAUCAGGAGCAGCUUGGAGUCCACUCUUCUUCACUUCCUCCACUAAACCUGCUAACAUGGUGUUUUUCAUCAGGACAGGCCUCGGUCUGAAGGUCCGUCUGCACUGAGGACAGCUGUAGAUCUUCUUCUCAUCCUCAGUAUCCCAGUAGGAUUGAAUACAGCUCAUGCAGAAGCUGUGUCCACAGUUAACAGUCACCGGAUCCUUCAGAAGAUCCAAACAGAUGGAACAAGAGAAAGACUCACGGUCCAGAAGAACUCCCUUCUGCGCCAUUUCAACACUCGCUGUUGACAACAACUGACUGAGUUUUAUUUCCUGAGAAGUGAAACUAGUCUGAGCUCUGAUCUCAACAACAUGUGUUUCAGCAGGAUAUCAGCUCAGCACACGUUAGUUACAACUGUAGAUCUGAAGGGGAGGGAAAGAGGAAGUGAAGAGAGCAAGGAAGUGAGUGUGCAGAGUGGAGUGAGCUGUGUGAGAGACGAGGGAGGGGAAAUUCAGCUCUUGUAUAAUUCAGGGAGAGCAGCGGCGAUGUGAAGUUUAGAGUCCUACUUGACUUUAACUGGACUUUACAGAACAAACAAACUGGAUUCACCUUUGGGAAAGAAAGCAGUCAACAGCUGCCUCCCCUCUUUCUUUUUCUUUCCUCUCUUUCUUCUUCUGAUACCAAAAAAAAUCACCAGUAUCGGAACUAUCAGCAAAUUAAUUUAUUACCACAAAAAUCACAACGCACACUCUACUGCUCCAUGAUCCUGCCUUUCCCCAGUGUUGAAAUCUGGGGAAACACAUACAAGACCAAUCUACAAAAGAUAAACACAAAAAAAGGUCAUCCGGACCAUAAAUCAUGCUGGAUACAGAGAUCACACCAGCCCUCUGUUCCUAAAAUCAGAAAUGUUAAAAUUUAAUGACAUAGUCAAUUAUAAAACGGAUCAAGUGCUGUACAAAGUAACACAAAGUAAGUUACCUGCUAAUCUACAAAAGAUGUUCAAAACCAGGGAGGGGGGCUAUAAUCUAAGGAGUGAACAUAAAUGUAUCUGUCCGAUAGACUCUUCGGUACGUUCCGCCCCCAGACUGCGAUGGUCCAAUCACAGCGUAGCAAACAAGAGUCGGACAUCAUGGCCACAUCACUCGUUAAAUCACAUGUUAUUUAGGGCUUUUUCAGAAGUUGAUUAACAAUAUAAUAUCAAGAAGAUUCAUAUUAUAUUACCACCAUGGUGAAACGUUGCUGCUGGGGGACCUGCAACAGCGACACUAGGUACCCAGAGCGUUUGAAUGGGGCAUUUUUUAUUCCUCUUCUGAAGCCGAAGCGUGCCUUGGAAAAGUGCAUGCUGUGUAUAAGUUAUGUGGCCGGCCACAUAACCAGCGUUACCUGAGGAACGUUACGAAGAAUACCUUUAUCUGCACCAAGGUAAGUUGUUUGUUGUUUAUUAGACUAUUGAUUUAACUUUAUACACUUGGUGUAUAAAAUGUAGGUAUUUAUACAGAUCUUUGUAAUUUAUUAAAAUAGAUUUUUUCUUUUUUUUUAAUUUCUAAUUUGCUAGGAAGAGGCAGGACUAGAUUAAGUCUUUGCUUCAUUCUGUUCCUUCCCAAACUGUACAUUUUGACAUACAUAUUAGGCCUGAACGAUAUAUCGUUUGACUAUCGUCAUCGCGAUGUACGUGUGUGCGAUAGUCACAUCGCAGAGCCUGCGAUAUUGGAGGUGAAUGAACUCAUUUAAUUUCAAGAGUAACCGACUGAGAUACACUCCAUGUGACUCUGCAUGUGCUGUGCAGCGAUCCACCAAUCGCCUUCGUCCUUAACUCAGUUGCCAGUCAGACUCACUUCUCAGCUGCCAAUCAGACUACCCUGCCAGCUGUCAAUCAAAAUCAGGGAGGAGAAAACCCACCCCUGCACAUGUUCUGCACAUGGAGGGAGACGCGUGUCCGCUGAGAAUUACUUUCGGAACUUUACUCAUGACUAUUAAGCCCAACAAAUAAGAACUGUAUGGGUUUUAAAUUGUACAUUUCCGUGAAUCACUCUACUAUAAGCAGUGCGCGUUUUGCGAGGUGCAUGCAAUUCUCGGAGUACAUGCGUUUCUCGGUACAGCACCGCUAACAACAACAACAACGAUCGCAAAAUGAACAACGAACAAGCGAAAACCACCGAAAAUGAAGAUUUGUUGCCAAAAAGAAAAGGAAAGUCAGUUAUCUUAAAUUAUUUCGGUUAAAAAAGGAUGAUGUCGACCAAAACACGUCUUCUGUGUUCAUCUGUUUCCACAAUAACGUCCCAGCACAAUAAAAGCUAAAAAUAUCUCUGAGACAGACAGAAGCCGUUCUACUAACAUUCACAAAAAGAGGUAAGAUCAGAGCAGAUUAACUGUCCUCAAGAUUUCAGCAGUGCAGCAUGACAUUAAGUGCUAUUCAGGUCAUCUGGUGAAAAUACUGUAUUUUUAAUAUCGCAAUAUAUAUCGCAGGGUUGAAAAAAUCGCAAUAUUAUUUUUUUCCAAUAUCGUGCAGCCUUAAUACAUAUGUUGUGUUAAUUUAUCUUUGACAUGUACAGUUGUUUGGUGUACAUAUUUAUUAUUUUGUUUGGUGUUUUUGUUUCUAGUUGUUUUUUGUUGUUGUAGUUCUUAAAGUUUGAGAUAAAUAAAGAAGAAGAAGAAGAAACGGAACAAGAGGAAGACUCUCAAACUCCAACAUGCAGAGGUUAUUAAAGCUGCAGCGGUCCUGAAGAUCAACUGAACCAACAUUUAUUCACCUCAUGGAUCACUGAAACACUUCCAACUAGUGUCAUAUUUCUGUGUAUGUGUGUCUAAUGAGGCAGGUUUGUAUUUUGUUGCAUGUUCUUGGGUGUCAUGUUAUGUUUCUGAAUUCUCUAAAAUUAUUUUUGCAGUUUCUCAUGUUGUUCACUUUCCCUCAGAAGAAUGUCUGCCAGGUGGUGCUUUGUCCUGUUUAAUCCUUAAGAGAGGAGCGUUCAGUAUAUGUGUUUGUAUUCAGUCUGUUUUAAGAUGCUGUCAUGUUGUGAUCUGUUAAAGAAGAUAUGAAACUUAAAGUGCAGUUUAACUUCAACUCAAUCAGCACUCACACACAUCGAUAUACUGAUCGGAUUUUAAAUACUCAGCCCUCCGAAAAGGCUUGACAGGAAGCACACUCAAGGUACAACUAAUGUUUUGUUCUUGGACUUCUUUUAUUUUUUGACCACACAGGUGACACAGGUCUUUUCUCUUUUACCGCAAUCUUAUUUUUGCUAACUGUCUUUUCAGCCUUUGUUAUACUUAUAAUCUUUUCUUAUUUAACCUAUCAGGCCUUAUAUUGAUAGUUUUUUUUCUUGCUCAUUUUUAUUAUUCUAUUUUAUCAUUACUAUUAUGAUCAUAUUAUUUUGUUAUUUUAUUAUCAUUAUUAAGAUUGUCUUUUUAUAUUUACUACCCUGUAUCCUGCUUUUAACCCCCCUUUUUAAUACAUUUCUUAUUCUUACCUAUUUUAUGUUUUUAUUCUGGUCCUCAUGGUCUCAUUUUAUGUAUAACUGCAAUAAACACAGUGAACCUAACUGGUUAAACACAGUAUCACAGUACCAACAGUAGCAGCUUACAUUACAAGCUAAAUGCUAAUAACAGCCAGCUAAGCGCUAGCUUGUAAUGCUAAUGGAGUUAGCCUUGCAUGCUAAUAGGGAGCUAGAGAAAAUGCUAACGGAAGCUAGCGGCGCUAAUCAAAUGCUAACCACGGACACUUAAUUACACUCUCUAAUUCAACAUUCUCUUAUUUCUCUCCAAGGACAAUGAAAUAGGCACCAAAGCGUUAUAUAUUCAGAGGCUACACAUUGUUAGCAGGUUAUUUCUUACCAAUGGACUGUUCGCUUCUGCCAAACUCGGACACAACUGUCGUGACAAGUAACACCGGAAGUCCGCGGACCUUUCAAAAUAAAAUGCAGAGCUACAAAACUCUUAAACUACUCAGAGCAACAAAUAAUGAUUUAAUAAUGCUUGUCUUGAUAUAUACACCUUAAAUCUCUUUCAAGAUUAUUACUCUUACUUACAGAAAACCUGAUCCAGCUGCAGGACCCACAUCUAGGACCUGUAACACCUGUGAGUGACCACAUCAUGGAAAUCCUGCAGACCACAUGAAUCCAUGACCCAGAAAGACCUGUAACAUGACAUCCAGCAGAAACAGACCAAAUAAAGAAAAACAGGUUAGGUGCUUUCAGUGACUCAACUUGAUGAUUUUUAUUGUUUUCACCCACAAUCUGAGCUGAGUCAGAAACAGAAAAACAGUCGGACUAAUAUAUGUGAUUAUUAUAAAAGUGAUUAGAAAGCUCAUAACAUGUUGAUCUGCUAAAAGUCUCAUUCUAGAUGUCUUUACAAACACACUGAUCCAACAGAAGCAGACAGAAAUAUCCAUCGAUCACAUGAACACAAAUAUUCAGCAAACAGAGAAAGAAACAGAUCAUCUGAAGAGUUUUUGGGGACGACUGGAAAGACUUUAGACGCUUGGAUUUGGGACAGGAAAUAAGGUCGUCCUUUUUUAUCUUUCUUUCAAUAUUUUGACGUCAGUUUUUUCUAAAGUCUCAGACCUUCAACAUCUGCACCAACUGAAGGUGAUUUGAACAAACGAUCAUCUUGAUGUUGUUGAUAUCAAAAUUCAUGAAGAUUUUUCAAAAUGAGAAAUACAAUCAGUUAUCCACAAUCACUGUCCUUAAAGCUGCGACCAAAUCAGCAUCUUUAGAAAAGUGUAGCGAUUUGAAUUUAUAAUAAAUGUCUGAGGAUUAAUAAUCUCAAGUUAUGACAUUUAUGCACUCGUUGAAAGAGGCACCACCCACCCUUAAUGGUGGAAAAAUAAAGAAAACUAAAGUUUAAUUCAGAAAUCAAACAUCAAGUCAAAUCUUAAAUUAAUCAAUCUCAUACCUUGAGCUGAGAUUCUCAUUUCAGGGACUCCACUUCUGGAAGAACACUAAAAGACCAGAACUUAGAAAUAAUGAUGUUUAAUACAGGAUAAAUGAUGGUACAACACACAUGCAAUAAAUGAUAAGAUAAUGAGGAUAAAAAAUAAUAGGUGAACAAAUAAAGAUUCUAAGUCAGGCUAGGAGCACUAAAGUUAAUGAUAGUGAGUGAAUAUGCUCGAACAUAUUAACCUACACUAUCUUUGGUGUCAAGGUAAAUUUGGAUGUGGAUUUGGAGGAAUCCAAGAUUACCAGAAUAAGUGGAUAUCUGAGUUAUGACCGCAUGAGACAGCAUCAGCCCUCUUUGGAGCUCUGGAGGUCUGCAUACUUAAGUAAGACUGGUCCUUGGAGAAGAUGGAGCAGGUUCCGAAGGUCCGGGCUACCGGCCGAAGUCAGCCGAAGGAUGGGCCAGGAGUCGUAGCACUCGGGCCUGAAGUAAAGCCGGCGCCUGUGGAUCCUGUGGAUGCUCGUUUGGAUGCUUCUUUGGUCUCACUCAAAAACUCUGGCGCAGAGGAUGACCCGGGCCUGCUGGGUUGUGUUCAGAGGUGACUUUGAAAUCUCGCAGAUAACUCAGAAAAACGAGGCUCGAUGACCAGAGAAAACUUUCAAAAAUGGCUUCGCGAAAUUAAAGAAAAAUCAAUCAAAGGCUUAAUCUUGAAUUGCUAUGCGCACAAAAAGUUGAAGUUUCAAAACUUGAACGAAGACGAUGUUAAAGAAAAUCAACGUGAAUCAACGCAAAACUUAGAAGACUAAGAAAAAGUAAGACUAAGUAGUAAAAGCUAAACGAAAACUUAAGAGUAGAAAAGCAAAAAUAGAAGAGAGGCAACAAGAGUACAAAGGGAACAAGCAACGUGAGCACCCCCCCCCUUUCUGGUUUUAUCUUCUCACACUGGGAGUGUCUCUGGCGUGUGUGUGUGAAGAGAAAGAGGAGGGGUCGUGGGGUCUCCAAGCAGAGGAGACCUCAGAUCUCUGAUUAUUUGAUCUAACAUAUACUUUUGGCUGGUAAAAGAGUCAGAUCUGAUACUCACUCACUAUGAUUAAUAUCAUUGAAUGCUUGGUUUCAUGAUAAAUAAUUUGAUACUAAACACAUAUAAAGAAAUGUAGGAUCACAUCAAACAUUCUCAUUAUGUUUCAAGUAUCACAUUAAACAUGCUAAAUUACUCUGAAAUGAAACAGAGAGUAACACAUGGAAACUGUGAACAACAAAAGAGUAAAUACAUGUGAAUGAACUUCAUCGUGAUUACUAAUGGAUUCUAAAUACUCACAUUCAGAUUAUUCAAUGACAUUAUAACCACCUAAUGGUUAAAAAUACUAAAUAAACAACUAAAAUAUAAACCAAACAUUUCUAAACUAUUUCUGUUACUUAGAGGAAACUUAUGAUCCAUAGUCAAUAAAUGUAACUCUUAAAAGUUGAGGAAACAGUCUGAAAAGCUGUUGGUCUAAAGAAACUAAAGAACAAAGGAAUUAUUCUGUCAGAGUGAUAACUCAGCUUCUGGAGCACAUAGAACAAUGAGAAACAUCUCAUUUUAACACAAAUUUCAUGAUUGGACAGAUUAGUACAUUGCUGAAUACAUAAGAUGUCAUGAUCAGUCAUUUGUAUUCUUUCAUCAAAGGAAUGCAGUUUUUUAUCAGAACAUGGUUGAGCAGGGUUUUACGACCGAGGGACCAGAUAAGGAAACUUUCCUGUGAGGAAUGUGUGAGUUUCACACCCAGGGUUGUCUUGAUUGCUACAAAAGAAUGAAAAAGCUGAAAUGAAGAACUAAACCGAAAGUUUCUGGUGAGACUGAUCCACAAACAUUUACAAACCAGAACAUUUCAAGUGUUCAAUGAUCUCAUUACAUGUUUUUGGUCUGAUGGACUCAAAAUUCUCUUUAUUUGGGUUCAAUAAACUUAGCAGAGGCUCCAACAGACCGGUGCUUAAAAGACAGGAAAAACAGUCCAGCAUAUAGCGGCUCAGUGAAUGUGGUCUGGACUCUGUGGAGGAGAGUCAUGGUUUCAGAGACGCUGUAGAAGGACAGAAUACCUGCUCUGUGAUCCAGGUACACUCCUACUCUGGAGGACAGAGGACCUGAGACAUCAGUGAGGACUUCGUUGUGAACAAAUUGAUAAAUGUCUUUAGAGCAGUCUAACGUCCAAGAUUUGUCAUUUCCUCCAAAUAAACAAUCAUCUGAGUCCCCGUCUCUGCUGAUCGUCUUGUAUGCGACUGCUACACUUACCCUGUUCCCUCUCCAGUCCACCUCCCAGUAACAACGUCCAGUCAGACUCUCUCUACUCAGGACCUGAUCAUAAUAAGUGAAUCUGUCUGGAUGAUCAGGAUAAGACUGUCGUUGUCUUGUUAAUGUUGCUUUUCUGUUUCCUUUAGAUAAUAUCAGAUAUCUGUUUGCUGUGUUUGGAUCCAGUGUGAUUCUUCGUGAAUAUCUUAGGAAAUCAGCUCUGGUCUUGGGUUCUGGUUCUAACAGUAAAACAUCCACUUCAGUCACUGCCUGUGAGACGUUUGUCCACAUCUUUGUCAGAAGAUCCUGGAGUUUAUCACUAACCUCUGACACAGCUGCUGUCACCUCCUCAAAGUAUCUCUGAGGACGGAUGUUGAUCCUGGAUGAGUCUGCAG
Molecule: long non-coding RNA, 9033 nt
Filed under: Xyrichtys novacula (pearly razorfish)
Lineage: Eukaryota; Metazoa; Chordata; Actinopteri; Labriformes; Labridae
Source: RNAcentral